GGAGAAUAAAAAUAAGCUAAUUUAACUGCGAAUUGAGGGUGUACAAAUCAAACCAAACUGUUAGUAAAUACAUGGUAGCUUAAAACGAGCGUAAUUCAAGGGAUCAAGUAGUCAAAUGUUAACAUCUCCUAUUAUCGAUAGUAGGUUUAAAUUCCUUUUCUUAUAUAUAAUAAUGCUUAAGAAACUUGAGUUAUCGUUAAUCCGAAAACAAUUUUGUGGGCGAGA
This 225-nucleotide unclassified non-coding RNA is filed under the name Hevea brasiliensis (rubber tree). Lineage: Eukaryota; Viridiplantae; Streptophyta; Magnoliopsida; Malpighiales; Euphorbiaceae. The record is from RNAcentral.